Molecule: ribosomal RNA, 253 nt
Filed under: uncultured bacterium
Lineage: Bacteria
Description: partial 16S ribosomal RNA
Rfam family: Bacterial small subunit ribosomal RNA
Source: RNAcentral
UACAGAGGUGGCAAGCGUUGGUCGGAAUUACUGGGCGUAAAGGGCGCGUAGGCGGCCUUCUAAGUCAGACGUGAAAUCCCCAGGCUUAACUUGGGAACUGCGUCUGAUACUGGGAGGCUUGAGUGCGGGAGAGGGAUGUGGAAUUCCAGGUGUAGCGGUGAAAUGCGUAGAUAUCUGGAGGAACACCGGUGGCGAAGGCGGCAUCCUGGACCGACACUGACGCUGAGGCGCGAAAGCUAGGGGAGCAAACGGG